Molecule: long non-coding RNA, 1614 nt
Filed under: Homo sapiens (human)
Lineage: Eukaryota; Metazoa; Chordata; Mammalia; Primates; Hominidae
Description: non-protein coding lnc-SLC6A12-3:6
Source: RNAcentral
UUUAAAACCAUUUUCUUUGGUUUUAAAGAAACAAUUUUUCUUUGGUCAUGAUUUUGUUGGUAGAUUUAUCUUUAUGGAAUUGUAGUAUUUUCUUGCUCUAAAACCCUCAGUUUAACCCCUUCUUUUUUCUGUCUCACAUUUUUGCCUCCAGCGAUAUGAAAAUGAACCUUGGAGAAUGGGAGGGUCCUGGGGGAGGGGGGCUGAGGGGCUCUUCACCAGGCAGAGAUGAACCCCAGUGCUGACACAAGCCCUUUCCUUUUCCUGGUUUCUCUUGCCCUGGAGAGUGACAGGCAGAAAGGGCUUUUUGUCUCUUUGGACCAUUUCUGUAUCCCUGCUGCCUCAAACGAAGCCUGGCCUGGGGCGAACUCAAUCAAUGACUCUGACGGGAGACAGGGCUCCGGCCCACUGGGGUGAUGGGCUAAAGAGGGGAUUCUGGUUCCUGUGGACAAUCUGGAAGCUGGAAGCUGUUAGAACUGGAGCGAGGAUUUCACCAAGGAGCUCACAGAGAGAGCCCGGGCAGGAACUCUCCAAUCAUCUGGCGGCUGAGGCCCUUUCGCUGGAGGAGGAAAUGGGCCACACCGAUGGGGGUGUCCGGGAUGAAGCCGCGUGAGAUCAGGAACUGGAUGCCCUUGUCGGGGUUUCUGGAGGUGGGGGUGGGGAGAAGCAGUAGAGAGUGAGCUGAAGCCAUCCAUGACUCUUUCCUCCCUGUCUUCCACCCAUAGAAGUACCCAGAGGUUCUUGGAAAUCCAGUUCCCCAUUGAAGCUUCUCUCACCAGAGCCUCAACCCACUGAAUGUCCUCACGCAGAGGAUGGUGUGUGACCAGAAGGAGGACAGGGGAGAUCUGCAAACAAAGUCCCCACCGCAGACGCCCCAACCCUGGAGAGAGGGUGGGAGAAACAGAGGUGAGACCUCCGCCACACCACCUCUUCCCUUUGCAAGCUUUGAAGCCAUGCUGCUCCCUGAGCUGUUCCUCACAGGUCCGGGAGGAGAUAAGUACAGAAACACAAGGUCUGCCGAGUACUAGCUAUUUCAUCGUGUGCAUUUCGCCUUACUGGUGUGAGCCGGCUUCUUUUCUGUAAAACAGCAUGGUAAUACCUCUGUGUAGAUACUGCUGGAAGAUUACAGAUGCUUUAUGUAAGGUGAGCUAUGAACAGUAGCUACUUCCCCUAGAAUAGGAGCCUCUUGAGGCCAGGGGAUGUGUCCUUCUCACCUCUGUGGUCACAGUGCCUGGCACCCAAUAAAUAACAGCCGAAUGAACGAAUGAACACGCAUUAGGGCCGGGGAGAUGUGCUCUUGGCGCAGGGUUAUGAAGGGGCGAGUGGAGGAUGGAGGCGAGUGCCUGCCUCCUGGACCUGACAUUUCCAUGGGAGGGGCAGGUGUGCUUCCUUUCCUCUGCUUGGGACUGGCUGUAUACAUUCGGUGCAGGACCAGUCCCGGUCUCGCUGGGGUCUCUGAGCUAUGGCGGUCGGUCAUUUCUCCCCUGUUCUCUUUCUCCUGUGCCUCUGCCUGCUUCACACUCUCUCUUCCUCGUAGCCCUCCCCUCUCCUGCUCUCAGCCGGCAUUCUUUACGAGGCGCCUCUCCUCCCUCCCCCACCCAGCCUCGCAUUUCACCA